CGGGUUUACUCCUGGAUGUUACCGUUUCGCCCAGCCGGGGCCGGGCGGGUUUUGGUGUCUGAUUCGGCAAACGAAUCGGGAGCACCAUCUGCGUAGGCUGGUGAUUUAAGGCUUGCGCCGCCUACGGUCUUGGAUAGCCCCCGCCAGGCAGGGACCCCAAUAGGUUGGAUGCGCCGGCCAGCCGGCGCA
RNAcentral lists this small RNA (189 nucleotides) under Pseudomonas sp. OF001. RNAcentral describes it as "P27". It matches the Rfam family "Pseudomonas sRNA P27". The record is from RNAcentral. Lineage: Bacteria; Pseudomonadati; Pseudomonadota; Gammaproteobacteria; Pseudomonadales; Pseudomonadaceae.